UACGUAGGGGGCAAGCGUUGUCCGGAAUCAUUGGGCGUAAAGAGUGUGUAGGCGGCCCGAUAAGUCCGCUGUGAAAGUCCAGGGCUCAACCCUGGAAUGCCGGUGGAUACUGUCGGGCUCGAAUCCGGAAGAGGUGAGUGGAAUUCCUGGUGUAGCGGUGAAAUGCGCAGAUAUCAGGAGGAACACCAAUGGCGAAGGCAGCUCACUGGGACGGUAUUGACGCUGAGACGCGAAAGCGUGGGGAGCAAACAGG
RNAcentral lists this ribosomal RNA (253 nucleotides) under uncultured bacterium. Its description in RNAcentral is "partial 16S ribosomal RNA". It matches the Rfam family "Bacterial small subunit ribosomal RNA", at positions 524 to 776 of the family's 1533-position model. The record is from RNAcentral.